GUUGUAUGGUUAAGUGACUAAGCGUACACGGUGGAUGCCUUGGCAGUCAGAGGCGAUGAAGGACGUGCUAACCUGCGAAAAGCUGUGAGAAGUCGGUAAGAGACGUUAGACUCACAGAUGUCCGAAUGGGGAAACCCACCUGAUUUAUCAGGUAUCGUUACAUGAAUACAUAGUGUAACGAGGCGAACCGGGAGAACUGAAACAUCUAAGUACCCCGAGGAAAAGAAAUCAACCGAGAUCCCCUUAGUAGCGGCGAGCGAACGGGGGCUAGCCCUUAAGUUGGUAAAGCGUUAGUGGAACGCUCUGGAAAGUGCGGCGAUACAGGGUGAUAGCCCCGUACACGAAAAGGCUUUAUCAAUGAA
This 362-nucleotide ribosomal RNA is filed under the name Rheinheimera mesophila. Its description in RNAcentral is "bacterial LSU rRNA". It matches the Rfam family "Bacterial large subunit ribosomal RNA", at positions 1 to 406 of the family's 2925-position model. Lineage: Bacteria; Pseudomonadati; Pseudomonadota; Gammaproteobacteria; Chromatiales; Chromatiaceae. The record is from RNAcentral.